GUGUUGACACUUUGGGUCUGAGU
Molecule: non-coding RNA, 23 nt
Filed under: Cricetulus griseus (Chinese hamster)
Lineage: Eukaryota; Metazoa; Chordata; Mammalia; Rodentia; Cricetidae
Source: RNAcentral